Long non-coding RNA from Balaenoptera acutorostrata (minke whale), 5923 nucleotides. RefSeq lists it as uncharacterized. Lineage: Eukaryota; Metazoa; Chordata; Mammalia; Artiodactyla; Balaenopteridae. The transcript has 4 exons. The record is from RefSeq and is a predicted model, not a curated record.
GUGGCGAACAGCCUGAGGUCCCAUCCCUGCUGAGGCCAGGCUGCAUUUCAUGGUGCCAACACAACCCUGGGUUCCAACCCAGACCCGGCCCUAACUCCAAGUGUGAUUUUGGGCAAGUCACUUCCCCUUUCCAAAAUGAAUUGCAGUCUGACAUUCGGGAAUUUGACAGUCUGUCUGCCCCACAGGACCAGAAGCUCUGUGGAGGCGGGGAUGCCGUUUUGCUCAUGAUGCUGUCCUGGCACAUAAUGAGGACAUUGAGGCACAGAGAAUUUAAGUCACUCACCUGAAGUCACACAGCUAAUAAGAUUGAGACCCAGCAGUCUGCCUCUGGAAUCUACACUCUGAACAUCUAAACUGCCUCUUGAAUACAGCGUUUGAUGCAGAAACUGAGGCUCAGACAGAGGUUGCAUGGCUACUAAGGGGCAGAGUGUCACUGGAACUCAGGUGUGUGUCAGCCAACAUCUGGGCGCAUCACUCCAGCGUGGCAGUGUCCUCCAGCCCUGACUGAUGGGGGUCCCUGUCGCAGACAGAGGGCAGGCCGAGCCUCACUGCUUCGUCUCCGCGCCAGCCCAGGUGCAGCCUCACCUGCACGAUGUAGUCACAGUCCUCCACCUCGAAGGCAAUGUCCUUCACUCCGUCGCCGUGUUUCACCAGGUGAUCGCCCAUCUCUGUGGCCGGCAGGGGAGGCGGGUGGCGCUGGAGUCACGGCCCCUCCCUUGUACUCUCAGCCUUCUGGGCUUCAUCUCCUUCUAGGCUGAGGCCCCCUCCCUGAACCCUGAUCCACCCCUGUGUCCCUCACCCCCACCCACAAUACCACGUCUCCACUCCCUGUCACCCCGAACCCUCUGGGGCCCCCUCACCUUUGUUCCAGGGGUUGAGGGCAGAGGAGAAGAUGAACACAAUCUAAGGCGUAGAGGAGAAGGGAGGCGUGGCUGGUGGCUCAGGCGAGCUUCUGGAGGUGCACCUCCAGCCCCGCUCCCUGCCCCCCAGCGAGAUACCCCUGGUGGGACAUUAGGACAAGACCUCUCUUCCCAGCCAGGCAGGACUGUUGACCCUGGGUUCCUGUCCUUUCUCAGCCUUAGCUUCCCCUCUGGUCCUGAGGGAUGGGGGCUUCUCCCGUGCCAGACCCUCCUGGGGCCUUGGGAUGAGCUGCCAGUCAAGCCUCCCGGUGGGGAGAGCCCCAGGGACCCAUGGACCAGGGCACCGCUCAGAUUUCCAGGUCUGACGUCUGAGGCCUUUGCCAACUUUCCCCGAACAUCUGUGAGACCAGCGUUGGGCCAGGCCGAGAAGUAGACCAAACCAAGAAGGUCCCUGUUGCGUGUCGUACAAAGGUGCCAGUGGAGGGCCCAGCGGGGGGCUGACCUCAGUGCACGCUCCGCUAACCACACCGGGCAGCCUGGAAGAGCACUGGGCCGCCUGGAGGAAGGGCUUCCUGGCCUCCUGCACCCAGAGGUGCCAGAGCUGUCACGGAGCUCAGAGACCAGCAGGGAGAGAGAUGGCCCUCCUGGAUGGGUGGGGUCCUGGGUGUAGACUCACCUUCCCUUGCUUGAUCACGUGGCUGACCAUCUCCCGGGAACCCGUCUCCAGGCCCUUGUAGGCUAGGGGUUCAAAGCCCAUCUUGCUGCAGUAGUACGACGCAGCCUGAAUCACAGAGUUGCAGACGGGCCCGUGAGGGUCGAGGGGCCGGCCCCCAGUCCCCCCAGCCUAUCUGCCCUGUUGCCCCAGGUGCCGAGAUCCUCCUGGGAAGAAAGCCUGCUCCCUGGCCCACGCUGAUCUCAGAUGAGGAAACUGAGACUCAGGAAGAUGAAGACUUGCCCAAAUAAUAAAUUGUCGGAACUUGCCUGCUGGCUCAGUGGUUAAGAUUUCGCCUCCCAAUGCAGGGGACAUGGGUUUGAGCCCUGGUCCAGGAACAUCCCACAUGCCGCGGAGCAACUAAGCCUGUGCGCCACAACUACUGAGCCUGCGCUCUAGAGCCCUCGAGCCACAACUACUGAGCCUGGGUGCUGCAACUACUGAAGUCCACAUGCCUAGAGCCCGUGCUCUGCAACAAGAGAAGCCACCGCAGUGAAAAGCCUGCGCACCACAGCGAAGAGUAGCCCCCGCUCGCCACAACUAGAGAAAGCCCACGGGCAGCAAUGAAGACCCAACACAGCCAAAAAUAAAUAAAUGAAUAAUUUUUAAAAAAAUAAUAAAUUGUCCACUGUGAUUAGAAAGUGCUGAACAAGAACUUGGAUCCAGACCACGUUUAUAUCACUAUGUGUGCUGCUGUCCAAACAUAAAACCAAUCCCUUUUUUCCAGGUCUCAAGGAGCUUAACAUCCACUGGGGAAAACUAUGUGAAGGCUCUGAUCCGGACUUUAUCAUUUUUAAAGUCUAAAACAGGUCCUGGCCAGCAUUUUCCAUAAAGAACUAGAAAAUAAAUAUUUCAGGCUUUGAGGGCCAUAUAGCCUCUGCUGAAACUACUCAGCUCUACAAUUGUAGCAUGAAAGCAGCCAGAGGCAGUAUGUAAAUGAAUUGGCAUGGUUGUGUGCGAAUAAAACUUUAUUUACAAAAACUAUUUGCAGAAACAUUCUGUGAGGGGCUUCCCUGGUGGCGCAGUGGUUAAGAAUCUGCCUGCCGAUUCAGGGGACACAGGCUCGAGCUCUGGUCCAGGAAGAUCCCACAUGCCUCAGAGCAACUAAGCCCGUGUGCCACAACUACUGAGCCUGCGCUCUAGAGCCCGCGAGCCACAACUACUGAAGCCCAAGUGCCACAACUACUGAAGCCCGUACGCCUAGAGCCCGUGCUCUGCAACAAAGAGGAACCACCGCAAUGAAAAUCCUGCGCACUGCAACGAAGACUUGCCUCCGCUCGCCGCAGCUAGAGAAAGCCUGCACGCAGCAAUGAAGACCCAACGCAGCCAAAAAUAAAUAAAAAAUAAAUUAAUUAAUUAAACAAAAAACAGGCUGUGAGCAAAAAACCAAAAAAAACAGACAAGCAUCCAUAUUUGGACAGAGAGCCAAUAGUUUGCUCACCCCUGCCCUAGACAAUCAAUAAAACAAUUAAGCAUUAGUUUGUAGCAGUUGCUGAAUUCUGUGGUAUAAGUACCCCUAUGGCCAGUUUCAAACUACCAAGGUAAGCUAGUUUGAACUUGGAGUUGAGAACAGUAUAAGUAGUAACGUAUCACACAGAAAAAUAGACAAGAGCCUAGGUAGUACUAAAAUGUAGUGAAAUAAUUAGGAAAUGAUGAGAUUUGAGCAUUUAUUACCUUUGUUUUCAUGAUAGUUUUUUUAGUUGUAAGUUUAUAUUAAAUUUUUUUCUGCUUUUUAAUGUAAUUUUUAAUAUACAUAAUUUAAUUUUAAGUAAUCUGGUAUUUAAAAAAAUUUUUCACAAACUUCUUGAAGAAUUCACAGUGGGCUCUCCUGAGCCUGUAGGAACUGCUCUGCUCUGGUUGCCUGAGGUUUAGGGGGCAGGAGGCCCCCAUGACUGGGGAAAGGGCAGAGGACAUCAGUGGCCCUGGAGGAGGAGCAACUGCUAUGACAUCAGGGCCCAGGGCACAUCAAAGGGUUUUCUCUUUCCUCUCUGGCCAAACAACUAUCUCGUCAGUUGCUCCAUUAUUUGCAUAAGCCCAGGGUGAGGUUACUCAAGAUCAGCCAUUGAUCCCUUUCGAACUGAACCUGCGUCCCCACCAUCCAAAGUCCCUAAACUUUUGAACAUCUGACACCCUUCAGUUCAGAACACUGACUUUCAUUCUUCACAAGGGCAAUAGGGAAGUUAGCUUUGGCCUCCAAUUUGCUGUGUUGCCUUCAACAUAUUGCGUAACCUCUCUGAACUCCCUUUUUCCAUUUCUGAAUAUUAGGGAGCGCUCUUAUGAGUCUUCAGUACCUACAGGGAUAGGAGUGACUAUGUGUCCAAUGCUUUGCAUUUAAUAUAACAGCCCUAUGAAGUAGGUGUUAUUAUUAUACCCAUUUUACAGUUAAGGAAACUGAGGCUCAGAGAAGCUAAGUGGCUCAUACUAUAAGUGGUAGAGUUGGGAUUCAUUCCCUCUACUCCCAGUCCAAGUUUCUCAUUUUUUUCUGGUGUGUCUCCCUGCGUCUGGAGAUCUUCAAGAUUUUUACAGAUGAAAGGGGUCUGAGGGCUUCCCUGGUGGCACGGUGGUUAAGAAUCUGCCUCCCAAUGCAGGGGACACGGGUUUAAGCCCUGGUCUGGGAAGAUCCCACAUACCGCGGAGCAACUAAGCCCGUGUGCCACAACUACUGAGCCUGCACUCUAGAGCCUGCCUGCCACAACUACUGAAGCCCCCAUGCCUAGAGCCCGAGCUCCGGAACAAGAGAAGCCACCGCAAUGAGAAGCCCACGCACCACAACAAAGAGUAGCCCCCGCUCACCACAACUAAAGAAAGCCCGCAAACAACCUAAAUGCCCAUCGACAGACAAAUGGAUAAAGAAGAUAUGGUACAUAUAUACAAUGGAAUAUUACUCAGCCAUAAAAAGGAACGAAACUGGGUCAUUUGUAGAGACGUGGAUGGAUCUAGCGACUGUCGUACAGAGUGAAGUAAGUCAGAAGGAGAAAAACAAAUAUCGUAUAUUAACGCAUAUAUGUGGAACCUAGAAAAAUGAUACAGGUGAACCGGUUUGCAGGGCAGAAAUAGAGACACAGAUGUAGAGAACAAACGUAUGGACACCAAGGGGGGAAAGCGGCAGGGGUGGUGGUGGUGGUGGUGGGAUGAAUUGGGAGACUGGGAUUGACAUAUAUACAUGAAUAUGUAUAAAAUAGAUAACUGAUAAGAACCUGCUGUAUAAGAAAAUAAAUAAAAUUAAAAAAAAAACCCCGCGUGCAGCAACGAAGAACCAAUGCAGCCAAAAAUAAAUAAAUAAAUUUAUUUUAAAAAAAAAGGGGGGUGUGUGUCUGAGUAGUCAUUAGUCCUGGGACUUGAAACUCAAAUGCCCCAGAAGCCAGGAGAGUGAUGUAGAAGAGAGAAGAGCUGGGUGGAAUUGUGGAGUUGUAUGCUCACGCCUUGUCAACAAGGGUGAUGAUUACUGAGCUUCAGCCAGUUAUCCCCUGUGGGGAUGUGGGCUAGUUUGGCCAGAUUUUGUUCAAGAGAAGCUGGAAAUUUGAAUUUUUAUGUGAAAUCCAUUGAUUUAAAAAUUGUUUGGGAAUUCUGAGUUUGGGAAUUCCCUGGCCGUCCAGUGGUUAGGACACCGCACUCUCACUACCAAGGGCCUGGGUUCAGUCCUUGGUUGGGGAACUAAGAUCCCACAAGCCGCGCGGUCUGGCCAAAAAAAAAAAAUUGUUUUAAUUCCAUUAAUAGGAAAUAACCAGAAUAGGUAAAUCCAUAGAGGCAGAAUGCAGAUUGGUGGGUGCCAGGGGCUGGGAGGAGGGAGGACUGGGGAGUCACUGCUAACGGGCAUGGGGUUUUCGUUUUGGGGUGGUGAGAAUGUUUUGGAGCUAGAGGUGGUGGUUACAUGACGUUGUGAAUGUACGAAAUGAAUUGUUCACUUAAAAAUGGUUAAUUUUAUGUCAUGUGGCUUUCAUCUCAAUAAAAAAAAUUGUUCUAACAUUUUUAUGACUGUUUUUUGAUAUUGAUAGAAAGUAUUUUUAUCAAAGGUUAAUAAUACACAUAGAAAAAUGCAAAAAGUAUAUGGCUUUCUGAAUUUUCACAAACUGACCACACCUGUUUAACCAGCUCAGAUAUAUAUUUUAUUUUAUAUUUUGUAACAGAAUUAAUGCAAGUUGAUAUAGAAAAAAAUACACAUAAUUAAAAGUGAAAAAAAAGAGAGAGAAAAAAGGAAAAAGAAAGUAAAGAAAACUAGCCCAUUCAUAAUCCUUCAGCCACAGAAAACCACCAUGGACAAUUUGGGCAUAUCCACCCAGACCGCCUUCUAAAAAUGUAUAAACAUAUGAUACUUUUCUGUUACAUUUUGUGUAUACUUUGUAAACACUGU